RNAcentral lists this transfer RNA (73 nucleotides) under Planctomycetota bacterium. RNAcentral describes it as "Planctomycetes bacterium tRNA-Lys". It matches the Rfam family "tRNA". Rfam says of the family: Transfer RNA (tRNA) molecules are approximately 80 nucleotides in length. Their secondary structure includes four short double-helical elements and three loops (D, anti-codon, and T loops). Lineage: Bacteria; Pseudomonadati; Planctomycetota. The record is from RNAcentral.
GCCCCUUUAGCUCAACUGGCAGAGCAAGUGACUCUUAAUCACUAGGUUGAAGGUUCGAGUCCUUCAGGGGGCA